GGGUGCGUAAUCUUUAUGAAUGAGAGGGAGGGAGGAGGGUUUUUGUAGAAAUAGAUUUAUGAAUGAGAGGGAGGGAGGAGGGUUUUUGUAGAAAUAGAUUUAUGAAUGAGAGGGAGGGAGGAGGGUUUUUGUAGAAAUAGAUUUAUGAAUGAGAGGGAGGGAGGAGGGUUUUUGUAGAAAUAGAUUUAUGAAUGAGAGGGAGGGAGGAGGGUUUUUGUAGAAAUAGAUUUAUGAAUGAGAGGGAGGGAGGAGGGUUUUUGUAGAAAUAGAUUUAUGAAUGAGAGGGAGGGAGGAGGGUUUUUGUAGAAAUAGAUUUAUGAAUGAGAGGGAGGGAGGAGGGUUUUUUGCAGAGUGUUGCACCAGUUUGUGCAGUAAUCUUUGAAGGUAAGUAUUUGCGAUUUCUUGCGGGAGAAAAGAGAAGCAAAGGAUCUUGGCAUCUUUGAAGAAGAUGAUGAUUUGAACUUGAUGUGAGCAAAUUUGUUGUUUCUUCAUAAGCAGCCAGAGAAAAG
This 509-nucleotide long non-coding RNA is filed under the name Citrus sinensis (sweet orange). RNAcentral describes it as "long non-coding RNA (CSIN_LNC001530)". The record is from RNAcentral. Lineage: Eukaryota; Viridiplantae; Streptophyta; Magnoliopsida; Sapindales; Rutaceae.